Long non-coding RNA from Onychostoma macrolepis, 1685 nucleotides. RefSeq lists it as uncharacterized. The record is from RefSeq and is a predicted model, not a curated record. Lineage: Eukaryota; Metazoa; Chordata; Actinopteri; Cypriniformes; Cyprinidae. The transcript is spliced from 4 exons.
GUGAUGUUUGUGUGCGUGAGAGUGAAGAGCUGCUCACACACUGCAGUCAAAGCGAGCGUGUGUUCAGCAGAGUCUGUCGCCUUCACGGCAGGUGUGUGUGUGCGUGUGCGCGUGCGUCUCUCUCUCUCUCUCUCUCUCUCUCUCUGUCUGUGUCUCUGUCUGUGGAUCUUCAUGGGCUCGGAUCGACGGCUUCUCUCGAGGAGACUCUCUGGAUGUAUGUGGAUUGGUCUGGCUCCAGUGUGUUUGGACGCUGAAGGCUCAGAUGGGAGCUCUGUGAGCAGAUCAUGCUGGAGACUGGGUUUCAGUCCAGUGGAGCUGUAUAUGACUUCUGGAGUAACAUAACUUGUGGAAUAAACUCGCUUUCCAGGACUGACAGAAGAAACAGCAGGAACCAAUGCUCCCUGUGUUCUCAUGUAACGUUAUAUUGUCAGUGGAGAUACUUCAUUACAGUUUUCUUCUGCAACAUGGGUCCACCCUGACUUCGCGUCGCGCUUCCUGAAGAAAGGAAAAGCCCUGAUGUGCUUGUCACCUGAGCUGACGGCCGGGGCUGCGUGAUGGAGGCCGAAUGUCUUCGCUCGGUCCCUCUUCAGACACUCAAAGGCCGCUCUGUUUCAGCCUGACGACGAGCCGAUUGGAUAUAAUCUUGAGCGGCGGACUCAGGAGAUGGGGAGGGAUAGGGAAACUCUACAGUAGGCUUUGCAGGGAAGGAUCGUCUUUCUCCAGAAGUAGGAAACGAGCGUCGGAGGGUUCCUGCUGCCAGUCGGCUCUCUCCUCCUGUUACGACACGGGACCAAAUUCAAACCAUGUGUCCUCGCACCCGGUUAGCUGCUUUUGCCCACCUCUAGCAUUAGCGGUCUGGACGGAUCCAUUUCACUGGCCCUCUCCCGUGCUGCGUUCUCAUUCUCCCAGCCCCAAAUGAGUCUCUCCGUGGGACUCCUGGCUUAAUAGGCUGGAACUUUCCCAUGUCCGGUCUCCGAAGGUGGCUGUUAUCCUCCGAGGGCCCCUGUGUGAGUUUCAAGCUCGGGCUCAUGUUAUGGGCUGGGCGAGGUGGAUACCAGGAUGUCAGAUGUAAAGCUUCACACAGAUUUUCACGGUAGGGUCUGAGCAGACUUAUGGAUGAGUGUGACAGCUGAUUUCUCCACAUCAUGGAUUGAUAUCUGGAGGUGCUCAUUUCAUAAGUGGAUUUCAGUUGUGUGGACUGCAUCUCACAGCAUCUGCUGUUUCCGUUUACCAUGCUUUGACUGCAGAUACUGGAUUACUCAGACUAUUUUCUACCUUUCCGUCAUUUGUUUUCUACUGCUUGGUCAGUACACUGUUCCAGUCAUGCUAAAAUAUACAAUACACAUAAACAGUAGUUAUGAUGUUGAAACUCUUGUUCACUGCACCCACUGUUAAACUUUUUUUUCCUUUUUUUUAACUAAAGUUUAUAUGCCAGGGACUAGAUCUUCUAGCUAUCUAAUAAAAUAUUGUUUUAACAUAAAUUGUGCUAAUAUUUCAAUAAUAUAGCAGUGUUGUUUUAUAAAGAGAUAAGGCAGAUAAGAGAUAAGAGAUGUUGUCACAAUCUAACGCGUCCUCUUGUACAAUAUUCCUUCCUUUUUAAUAUAUAAAUAUUUUUUUACUUGCAUGUAUAAUUGAUAUAUUUUUUUAAAUUGUCCUGAAUUUUUGCUUAAAUAAAAAAAAGUGGA